GGAACUGUGGUUUCCUACCUGAUCCGAGGUCACCUCUAAAAAUUGGGGGGUUUAGCGGCUGGAGCACGCCGGGACGAUCCGAACGAGGUUCGCGUUUUACCGCGUUUUACUGCGCUCAGUGUACCGACGAGCCCGCCGAUGAACUUGGGGGUCCCCCUCCCCUUCGCUCCGGCCCCCCCCCCCCCCCAACCCUCCCUCUCCCAAUGUUACUCCUCCACCCAAGCCUUCUAUUCUCUCUCCCCCCGCCGCCCCCACCCCCCCGCGCGCCGCUUCAUCAUCUCCUAUCCCCUCCACCCGCCGGUCUCGUACGGCCCGCGCUUCACCCCCGUCUCCACCGCCACACUCCUCAUUCACGCUCUCCGUAUUGGCUCCGCACUGCUCGACCCCCGCACGGACUACCCCACCCUCCUCCUCCUCGCGCUCCUCCCCCCGUUCCACGACACGAACUUCGGCUCCCCUCUGACGAACUUCGACUACCUCCUCCCGUUCGCCAUCACAGGACUCGACGCAAGGAUCAUUACUGAGUUGAAAAACUCCACCCUGUGAACAUAACCUCUGUCGUUGCUUCGGCGGGCACCCCGCCGGAGGUUCAAAACUCUUAUUUUUUCAGUAUCUCUGAGCCUGAAAGACAAAUAAUCAAACUUUCACAACGGAUCUCUUGGUUCUGGCAUCGAUGAAGAAACCAGCGAAAUGCGAUAAGUUAAUGUGGAAUUGCAAAAUUCAUGGAAUCUCCAAUCUUUUAAGCCAUUGCGCCCCCGGUAUUCCGGCGGCAUGCUGGUUCAGCGUCAUUUCACCUCACCCCCGCUGGUUGGUUGGGGGGGUAAAAAAAAAAAAAGAGGGAAAAGGAACCGCAAAUCCCCAUUCCCCCUGUAGCUAUCCUAUCCCUACUCAUAUUCUC
RNAcentral lists this unclassified non-coding RNA (898 nucleotides) under Pyricularia oryzae. RNAcentral describes it as "sequence contains ITS1, 5.8S rRNA gene, ITS2". The stretch from base 639 to 788 matches the Rfam family "5.8S ribosomal RNA". Lineage: Eukaryota; Fungi; Ascomycota; Sordariomycetes; Magnaporthales; Pyriculariaceae. The record is from RNAcentral.